This is a long non-coding RNA of Gorilla gorilla gorilla (western lowland gorilla), 1380 nucleotides long. RefSeq lists it as uncharacterized. NCBI's taxonomy places the organism in Eukaryota, Metazoa, Chordata, Mammalia, Primates, Hominidae. The transcript has 3 exons. The record is from RefSeq and is a predicted model, not a curated record.
GGCGGGGACCCACCUCGGACACCCUCGCUGGCCUCCUGGAGCUCCAGGCCCAUGUAGUGCACCUGCUUUCUGGAGGACGGGCUGAUGGGGAUGUUCACGCCUGAGGGCUCCGCACCGUGGGCACCCAGGUCCUACAGGAAGGACCCCGUUCUCCAGUGCCUCCUCCCAUUCUUGUCAUCAGGACCUCGUGAGGGAAUGCACAGCCACGUGAGGCAGGGGAGGCAGCAGCCGGGACAGAGCGAGACGGAGCCCAGGUCGACGAGGGUUCGCUCACCUGAUUCCAUGAACUAAAGCAACCAACACAAUUCUGCCCCAACCCUGCCUGGCCCUGAGGCCCUGGGGAGACCCCCCUCCUGCAAAUGUGUGGUCCUAGAGGGCUGGUCCCCUCGGAAUGCCAGGACCCCUUCAUCGAGAUGAGCCACAGAACAUAGCGGCCAAGUUCUGGUGCCCAGGCAGGCACCUGGGCCAGCAGGGACAGGGCCAGCAGGGCCAGCUGCCUAGAGGAGGGGGCAUGGCUGAGGGGCUGAGGCCAAGAGGGGGUGGUGGGAGAGGCAGGUGGGGUAAGGGCCUGGGGAGAGCUGAGGGAGCGCCGGGGCCUGGCGUCUGGAAAGGGGGCCUUGAACCCAAGGGGCAGGGCCGGGGCUUGCCCACGGUGGGGCUGGACACCCCCCUGCAGCCUGGUACCUUGUUUUAGGAUUGCAUCCGUUCUUCCAAGUUUGCUCCCAAGGGUGGGCGGUGAGGGGUGAGGGUGGAAGCAGGAAGGAGCAUGAGGCCUGACUGCAGGGAAAGGGGACGAAUGUUCCCAACACCACCCGGAGUCACACGGGGGCUGUAAGCAGCGCUGGGCCAGCAGUGUGUCCAUAUCUGCAUCUCCCCCAAGGCCACUGGCUCCAGGGCCCUCAGUGCUCCUCCUCCCGUCCCCUCCUUGGGACUUGGAUUUUGCUUCGGCUUCUGUGAGCAUCGCUUCCAGUACCUCGGAUACUCUUUCAGUGAAGCAGCAACCGGGAAUCGGCUGGCCCUUCUGCACCCUCCUCCCAGACCCCGCCCUGGGCUGGUGGCCCGACACUACCACUUGGGCCUGGCUCACCUCUGUCCCAUGACAGACCCCAGGCGCCCCUCCUGAGUCCCCUGCCUCUGUGGAAAAGAUUCACAUCCUCCAGCAGAUACUGGGCCUGUCCCCUUGAUCCCCACACCUGUGUCCCAGGGCACCCCUGUCUGGGUAAAAGACAUCUGAAGGGUAUGGGUGGCCUCGGGGAGGCAACAGUAGGCUGCCCAGGAGGACCCUUGGGGCAGGGCUGGCCCCACCACCUCUGGUCUGGUGGCCGCCUCAGCACGCUGGACUGCAGGGAUCGGUGUCCAGCCUAGGGCCAAGGCCGACUG